RNAcentral lists this ribosomal RNA (773 nucleotides) under uncultured Neocallimastigales. RNAcentral describes it as "partial large subunit ribosomal RNA". It matches the Rfam family "Eukaryotic large subunit ribosomal RNA", at positions 20 to 610 of the family's 3401-position model. The record is from RNAcentral. Lineage: Eukaryota; Fungi; Neocallimastigomycota; Neocallimastigomycetes; Neocallimastigales.
UACUAGAGUAGCACUCGCAUAUCAAUAAGCGGAGGAAAAGAAACUAACUAGGAUUCCCUUAGUAACGGCGAGUGAAGCGGGAAGAGCUCAAAUUUGAAAUCUUCAAGGUUUUACCUUGACGAAUUGUAGUUUAAAGAAGUGUUUUCUGUUGAAGUUUUGGUAAAAGUUCUUUGGAAUAGGACAUCAUAGAGGGUGAGAAUCCCGUAUUUGACCAUUAUUUUCAGCUGUGUGAUACACUUUCAAAGAGUCGGAUUGUUUGGGAAUGCAGUCCAAAAUGGGUGGUAAAUUUCAUCUAAAGCUAAAUAUUGGCGAGAGACCGAUAGCGAACAAGUACCGUGAGGGAAAGAUGAAAAGAACUUUGAAAAGAGAGUUAAACAGUACGUGAAAUUGUCAAAAGGGAAGCGUUUGACACCAGUGUUGUUUCUCGAAAAUCAAUUAAAAAAGGCCGGAUUUUGUGUUGUAUUGACCUUAAAAGCUUUCUUCACUCUUUUCUUGUCUUUUUUAAUGCACUUUUCGCUUAACAAGUCAACAUCAGUUUCUUUUGUUGUAAAAGGGUCAUUGGAAGGUGGCUUUCUUUUCGGAGAAAGUGUUUAUAGCCUUUGAUCUCUGCAACCGGAGAGACUGAGGUCUGCAGCGUAGACUCUUCGGGGUUAGAUACAUUUGUGCUAAGCUAUAGCUUUUUAUAGACAACUUGUUGACUAUAUUUAGUCUUGUGGCUUACUCGCUUAUGCUAUUUUACCUACGCUUAGGAUGUUGAUAGUCACAGCGUGUAC